RNAcentral lists this ribosomal RNA (497 nucleotides) under uncultured bacterium. RNAcentral describes it as "partial 16S ribosomal RNA". It matches the Rfam family "Bacterial small subunit ribosomal RNA", at positions 28 to 507 of the family's 1533-position model. The record is from RNAcentral.
GAUGAACGCUGGCGGCGUGCCUAAUACAUGCAAGUCGAGCGAACAGAUAAGGAGCUUGCUCCUUUGACGUUAGCGGCGGACGGGUGAGUAACACGUGGAUAACCUACCUAUAAGACUGGGAUAACUUCGGGAAACCGGAGCUAAUACCGGAUAACAUAUUGAACCGCAUGGUUCAAUAGUGAAAGGCGGCUUUGCUGUCACUUAUAGAUGGAUCCGCGCCGUAUUAGCUAGUUGGUAAGGUAACGGCUUACCAAGGCAACGAUACGUAGCCGACCUGAGAGGGUGAUAGGCCACACUGGAACUGAGACACGGUCCAGACUCCUACGGGAGGCAGCAGUAGGGAAUCUUCCGCAAAGGGCGAAAGCCUGACGGAGCAACGCCGCGUGAGUGAUGAAGGUCUUCGGAUCGUAAAACUCUGUUAUCAGGGAAGAACAAAUGUGUAAGUAACUGUGCACAUCUUGACGGUACCUGAUCAGAAAGCCACGGCUAACUACGUG